UACGGAGGUGGCAAGCGUUGUCCGGAUUUAUUGGGUUUAAAGGGUGCGUCGGUGGUCUAUUAAGUCAGUGCUGAAAUAUCCCGGCUUAACCGGGAGGGUGGCAUUGAUACUGAUGGACUUGAGUGAAGUCGAGGUAGGCGGAAUUGACGGUGUAGCGGUGAAAUACUUAGAUAUCGUCAAGAACACCUAUUGCGAAGGCAGCUAACUAAGCUUUAACUGACGCUGAGGCACGAAAGUGUGGGGAUCAAACAGG
Molecule: ribosomal RNA, 253 nt
Filed under: uncultured bacterium
Lineage: Bacteria
Description: partial 16S ribosomal RNA
Rfam family: Bacterial small subunit ribosomal RNA
Source: RNAcentral